RNAcentral lists this transfer RNA (72 nucleotides) under Caerostris extrusa. RNAcentral's name for it is "tRNA-Gly". It matches the Rfam family "tRNA". Rfam says of the family: Transfer RNA (tRNA) molecules are approximately 80 nucleotides in length. The record is from RNAcentral. Lineage: Eukaryota; Metazoa; Arthropoda; Arachnida; Araneae; Araneidae.
GCGUCGGUGGUAUAACGGUUAGCAUAGCUGCCUUCCAAGCAGUUGACCCAGGUUCGACUCCCGGCCGAAGCA